This 3404-nucleotide ribosomal RNA is filed under the name Dimargaris bacillispora. Its description in RNAcentral is "eukaryotic LSU rRNA". It matches the Rfam family "Eukaryotic large subunit ribosomal RNA". Lineage: Eukaryota; Fungi; Kickxellomycota; Dimargaritomycetes; Dimargaritales; Dimargaritaceae. The record is from RNAcentral.
UCUUAAUCUCAACUCAAGUAGGACCACCCACUGAAUUUAAGCAUAUUAAUAAGUGGAGGAAAAGAAACUAACAAGGAUUCUCCUAGUAGCGGCGAGUGAACAGAGAUAAGCCCAGAUUUGGAAUCGCCUUGCCACAUGGCUCGAGCGAGUUGUAUUCUGGAGAUGUGGCCUGGGGGGGUGACUGUGCUGCGGCAACUAACCUGGAAUGGUUGGGCAUAGGGGGUGAUACCCCCGUUGCUGCGGCAUGCUUUCCCCCACUAUGUCAUCAUCGAUGAGUCGAGUUGUUUGGGAACGCAACUCUAAUCUUGAGGUGGUAAGCGCCAUCUAAGGCUAAAUAUGGAUGAGAGACCGAUAGCAAACAAGUACCGUGAGGGAAAGUUGAAAAGCACUCUGAAGAGAGAGUGAAAUAGUACGUGAAAUUGUUAGGAGGUGAAGGAAAGGCACCGCUGGAGUGAUACGUCACGGUCAGGAUUAGAUGGAGGCACUGGAUACGUACUGCGGCAGUGACUGCUUUGGCUGCGGCCUUGGCGGUACCCCAGCUACUUCAGGUGUUUCUGUCUAAGGUCUGCCACAGUUGGGGGCAACCCCAGUCUAUGCUGUGAAGGAUGCUGGCUUGAAGCAGGGGUGCAUUUCACCCGUCUUGAAACACGGACCAAGGAGUCUAACAAGGAUGCAAGUAGGCGAAUAGUUAUAUUCAACUGCGGAAUGGAAGUGAUUGUGUGAGAGGAUACCCCUGGGUGGCACUCUUAUCUGGACUGGGAAGCAUGCGGCCCGGUCCAAGACUUAGCAUCUUUGCUAGGACCCGAAAGAUGGUGAACUAUGCUUGAAUAGGAUAAAGUCAGAGGAAACUCUGAUGGAAGUCCGGCGAGGUUUUGACGUGCAAAUCAAUCUUCUGAUUUGGGCAUAGGGGCGAAAGACUAAUCGAACCAUCUAGUAGCUGGUUCCUGCCGAAGUUUCCCUCAGGAUAGCAGAAACAGUAGAGUUUUGUGUGGUAAAGCGAAUGAUUAGAGGCCUUGGGGGUCAAAGAUCCUUAACCUAUUCUCAAACUUUGAAUGCGCAAGGGGUGCAUGUACUUAUGUGACAUCUCCCCCUAAAUCAAGUGUUUCUAGUGGGCCAUUUUUGGUAAGCAGAACUGGCGAUGCGGGAUGAACCGAAAGUGUUGCUAAGGUGCCCUAGUGUACGCAUAUUUUGGAGCCCACAAAAGGUGUUGGUUCAUCUAGACAGCAGGACGGUGGCCAUGGAAGUCGGAAUCCGCUAAGGAGUGUGUAACAACUCACCUGCCGAAUGAAGCAGCCCUGAAAAUGGAUGGCGCUUUAGCGUAUCACCGAUGCAACACCCAUUGAGUUUCCUAUUGUGCUUAGUGGAGUAGGCAGGCGUGAAGGCUCCUGCAUAGAAGUGACAGUGGUAGCAUGUCAUGGAGCAGCCUUUAGUGCAGAUCUUGGUAGUAGUAGCAAGUAUUCAAAUCAGAGGUUUGAAGACUGAAGUGGAGAAAGGUUCCUCUGGAAGGGCAAUCCGCAGAGGGUAAGUCGAUCCUAAGAGGGUGGGUAAUUCCAGCCACAGGGGUGCCUUAUAACACCCUGCCUCGAAAGGGAAUCCGGUUAAUAUUCCGGAACUGAGAUGUAGAUAUUGACUGCGGCAACGCAAGUGAACCCAAAGACCCCAGGGGGUAGGUGCGGAAGAGUUUUCUUUUCUUUUUAACAGGUAGAGGUCUGGAUAGUGUUGUGCAAACAAUGCAGUCUUACUCUUUUGAAUUUCCCUGGAAUGUAGUUGCUACGCGAAGGGGAAGUUUACCUGGCAGAGUUUACCCCGUGUAAAUCGCACUGUGCCCCAUGGGCCUUGAAAAUUUGGGGGACCUGAUCUUAUCAAUUCUACGCUUAGUCGUACUCACCACCGCAUCAGGUCUCCAAGGUGAAUAGCCUCUAGUUUACGGCGUAAUGUGAGUAAGGGAAGUCGGCAAACUGGAUCCGUAACUUCGGGAGAAGGAUUGGCUCGGGUGGGACUAUAUGUUCCAGACUCGAACUGAGACUAUCCAGGGGAAUCCAACUGUCUAAUUAAAACAUAGCUUUGUGAUGGUUCAUGUGAAUGUUGACACAAAGUGAUUUCUGCCCAGUGCUCUGAAUGUCAAUGUGAAGAAAUUCAACUAAGCGCGGGUAAACGGCGGGAGUAACUAUGACUCAACCUAGAGGGUCGUGAAAGCCUCCUGAGAGGGGUGGCUAGUGGUAGUGUAGCAAUGAUCGUGACCUAGUAUUGCGUGAUGGGGGCUGCUCUAUUGCGACAUCAUCAAAUUGCGGGAAACCCCUAAAGCUCUUGAUACCAAGCUGUGGUAGAAAUACCACGGUGGCCAGGGUAAUGACCUCGGGUAUGGUAACAACUCAGGAGAUGUACAAUGGGCAAUCCGCAGCCAAGUCCUGGGGUGAUCUGGGGGCAGUGUCGCAUCAUGUGACUUUGUCCCCAGGCACUAUGGAUGCAGUUCAACGACUAGAUGGUGAUGGGUGGAGACCUUGUGUUUCUGCUUAAGAUAUAGUCUGGCCCCAGGGAAACCUGGCUCUGAGGUAUAGCAGGGGACUCCCCCCCUUGUAAGCUCAGAGGUGAGACCCCGUCUCUGGAAGUAUGCUCUUAAGGUAGCCAAACGCCUCGUCAUCUAAUUAGUGACGCGCAUGAAUGGAUGAAUGAGAUUCCCACUGUCCCUACUUACGCACCGGCGAAACUACAGUCAAGGGAACGGGCUUGAGAUAGCAUCAGCGGGGAAAGAAGACCCUGUUGAGCUUGACUCUAGUUUGACGCUGUUUAGAGACGUGGGGGGUGUAGCGUAGGCGGGAGAUGCUUGCAUCGCCAUUGAAACACCGCCACCCCCACUGUCUCUUUACUUAGAUAGAUAAGGGAGAUGCUUAUAGAGCACACUGCUUCGUGCAGUAAUCCUCACUAUUGAUUUCGCCAGAUUGGGAGUUUGGCUGGGGCGGCACAUCUGUUAAACAAUAACGCAGGUGUCCCAAGGAGAGCUCAAUGAGAACAGAAAUCUCAUGUAGAACAAAAGGGUAAAAGCUCUCUUGACUUGGACUCCCAGUGCGAGUUCAAGCCAUGAAAGUGGGGCCUAUCGAUCCUUUGUGUGCUUAUUUCUUAGUGCUUAAGACCAGAGGUGUCAGAAAAGUUACCACAGGGAUAACUGGCUUGUGGCAGCCAAGCGCUCAUAGCGACGUUGCUUUUUGAUCCUUCGAUGUCGGCUCUUCCUAGCGUACUGAAGCAGAAUUCAGUAAGCGUCAGAUUGUUCACCUGCUAACAGGGAACGUGAGCUGGGUUUAGACCGUCGUGAGACAGGUUAGUUUUACCCUACUGGAGCAGAUUAAAGUGCCACAACAGUAAUUCAACUUAGUACGAGAGGAACCGUUGAUUCAGACCUCUGGUAU